UUAAUAUUUUCAUUGAACUUUGAUUGUAAGUUUGGCUAAACUUGAAAACUUACUGAACUAUCUUCACUUUGUGAAGAUUUAUUCCUGAGAUUUUGACGAGAUAUUUAGGAAAUAACACCUUUGAUGGAAACAGCUUAACAACGCCCAAGGAUUAAAUGACUGACUCAAGGCAAACAAGAAACAUAAAGACUCUUUGGUGCAAUGGUAUUCUAUUCUCCAUCUCAGGAUUGAAGUUCUUAUACUUAUACUCAAAUAUUAUUAUGUUUUUCUCACUUAGAGAAAAUGGUUAAAAUAAUAAACUUGAUUAUACAGAAUUAUUGUUUUAUCAGAGUGGAGAGUGCUUUACUUUCUUUGCAAGGACAAAAAUGGCUAGCUGUCCAAACAAAGGUGAUGCACCUUCUUUUAAGGAUUACCAUAUGGUGUCUAGAUAUAUCUUUGAAGGUUCAGUAUCACUUUAUUUUGGUAGGCAUCAUGAUCCAUAUUUAUAUAAGCGUUGUGAAUGGAUAGUUGUAUCUUCAAUGAAGGAUGUCUCAUAUUGGGUGUACACAUAGUGGAGACUCUGAUGCAUCUUACAUUAUUGAGACGCAAUUCUUCUAACUGUUCUAGCCUCGCUAUAGCAAAUAAACAGAAUUCUUGGAAAUUUGCAUAUCAUUUUUCCUUUAUUAGCAGACUACAUAAUAGUCCUAGGAAUGUUUUCAGGGAAUACUUCUUAGACUAAACAAAUUUUAGGACAUAGGACUUUGGAAUUUCAACACCUCAGAUAAUGUUUAUUCAAUGCUGAAAUUUUUAGAAUAUCACAUGUUAUUCAUGCAGGUUUUAAUAAGCCCACCGCUAGAAUCAUAUCGAGAGUGCAACAUAAGCUAAUGCUCCUAAGAGAGUCCUCGGGGCAUAAAACUCCCUGUUGUCAAUAGCCAAUCCAUAUAUUCGAGGCAAAUUCUAUAAAUAGUUGACAUGAGUCAUGGUUAAUCUCAUGAAGUGCUAAUUCCUCAGUAGUGGAUUUUUCAUUUAUAUGAAUCUAUGUUUUAAUAUAACAAUCAAAUAGUAAUAGGUUGGUUUCGUAUUUGAGUAAUCAUCGGAUGAGUGCGAUAUCUAUAAAUUUGUUUUGUAUUGAAAUCAGGAUCAGCACCGGUAUCUUGCUGGUAUAAUCUUAGCUGCUUCUAGAUAUGUAGUUAGUCAAAAGGAGUGUGCAGACACAGAAAUACUACAUAAGUAUUACUCUCCGUCUCUUUAUAUUGCAUGUAUUAUCAUUCAUAUUUUAUGAUGAAUUUUAUUGGUGA
Lycium ferocissimum is the source of this 1277-nucleotide long non-coding RNA. RefSeq lists it as uncharacterized. The transcript has 2 exons. Lineage: Eukaryota; Viridiplantae; Streptophyta; Magnoliopsida; Solanales; Solanaceae. The record is from RefSeq and is a predicted model, not a curated record.